This 183-nucleotide non-coding RNA is filed under the name Ornithinibacillus caprae. RNAcentral's name for it is "6S / SsrS RNA". It matches the Rfam family "6S / SsrS RNA". Rfam says of the family: E. coli 6S RNA was the first non coding RNA to be sequenced, but its function was unknown until recently. It consists of 184 nucleotides that fold into an extended hairpin structure with a large single-stranded internal bulge. The record is from Rfam by way of RNAcentral. Lineage: Bacteria; Bacillati; Bacillota; Bacilli; Caryophanales; Bacillaceae.
AACAAGCUACGAUGUUCGUAUUUAUUUAAGUUUUAACCUCUAAUGAGAUAAUAGGGAGUUUUACAUUGAAGCUCUAAUGUCGUGCCGUCAAGAGCGGAAGGCAGGAAGGUUUCUGCAAACACCCACUUUGGUGAAGUGGUGGUUUAAAACUUUUUAUGAAAAUACGGCAUAGGUGGCUAUUGA